Sarcophilus harrisii (Tasmanian devil) is the source of this 1962-nucleotide long non-coding RNA. The record is from Ensembl. Lineage: Eukaryota; Metazoa; Chordata; Mammalia; Dasyuromorphia; Dasyuridae.
CUGUCUUUUCAUAUAUACCAGGAAUCCUUGCUAACAAUCAUGCUUCCAUUUCCACCCCACCUCACCCCACCCCACCCCCGUCAUUGAAUAAGGAUAUACAUAGCUACACAGCUACACAUAAUUUUUUCCUUUACGUUUCAAAGCUAUGAGAUUGAAAACCCAGGCAGUAUUUUCACUGGAAUUCACACUUGGUUUAGAAUUGGGAAACUAAGGUUUGAGACCCAGCCUUGACAUUUAUUGAAUGUGUGGAACUCUCUUCUCUGGGCCUGUUUCCUGAUAUGUAAAAUAAAAGUAUUGGAGCUCUUGAAUUCUAUAGUUCUACAUUGGAUGUCUUUCUUACUAGGGUAAUCCUCCUUCCCUUUUUGAAAAGUCCACAACUCAAAAUGUCAUAUUUCUUUUAAACUUAUUUUUUUUUCCAUGGUGUCAAGAAACAGUGAAAUAAGGUAUUAUAUAGGAGCCUUUUUGUUCCCUGCACACCCAGAAAGGUACAGAAGAACCAGGGAGAAUGAGUGAUUUUUGCCAUCUUAGUCUUUCAUUACUGAUAGAUGGGUGAGUUGUCCACUGCCUUUAUAACCUAUCAAGGAGGAUGUUGCUGCCAUAAUAUUAGUAGGAGCAAUGCUUUUAUUUUAAAAAAGAAAUGAGGGUGAUGAAGGGGAGAGAGCUCUCAAAUUAGGUUAGCAUUAUGUCUAAAUAUUUAAGUCCAUUGGACUGAGGAUGUAAAAAUUAAGGAGUCCUGGUCUUUCCCAAAUGGAUUAGCUUUCCAUUGCAGGUCUCCUGAAGUUUUAAAAUGAUACAUUCUGGAAAUUCCUAUGUCGGUUGUAUUUUCCUUUCCCUCCAUCCUUUCCCCCCCAUCUCCUGACUCCUGAAUAAAGGGUAAUAAGAACACAAUGUAAGCAGUAAAUUGAAGGUGGUGUUGGGAGUGUUGGUUAAGUAAUCAAAAAGGUUGAGCAAAUAUAGACAAUCUUAAAAACAACAAUUGCAUCCAGAAGUUUGGGGGUUUGACUCAACUGCCCUUCUCAGUCCACUCUUCCACCGAUCUCUCUGGAUGACCAUCUUUCCUCUUCCUUUCCUCAACCCUUUGAGCCCAACCAUAGAGCUAAGCUGCAAAUGUCAGCAGUCCUCGGUCCUUAGCCUUGCUCCGCAGCUGCCUUUAGCUCCAGGUUUGGCCUACUGAACAGGAUGAGUGAUUUCUGAUCUGGAGGCUAGUCCCCCAUGAAUUAAAUGAGAGCAAGUGAUCCCCACCAGCCUCUUAACUCAUCCCCUUUUCCUUCCCAUCUAUAUCAUGAACAUGCCCAGUGCCUUGUCCUGGGGAAGGACUUAGCUCCUUGCAGUUUCUCAUUUCUGAAUGCUGCCUGGUGCUUUUCCAGUACUGCCUUUCUUUUUGUUUUCAUUUCUUUCCUUACCAACAAACCUCGCAUUCAUUUUGUUGCUGUAUCAUUGUGGAGUAUGUAUUUAUUGUGUUUUACAUAUAUGUGUACAAAUACAAACCUAUAUAUAUAUAUAUAUGAAAAAUGUCAACGCAUGAAUAUAUGUACAGUAGAUAUUUUAAAGAGCUAUUUAUCAAAAAAGAUGUGUGUUAUAAAGUAAACAGAGUCUAUAUUUUAUAUAUGAUGUAGAUAGGAAAAAAAUAGCAUUUAAGUUAUAGAAAGAGGAACUUUUUUUUUUCUUUUGGUAGCAAAAAAGGACAAUGAAUGUGGCCAUUCUUGGUGUUUUGAGUCUAUGCUCUGUGAUCCUCAUGUUUUAGCAACCAGACUGCUUAGUGAGGAAACCUUUCUUCCCUAUCUUGUCUCUUUGGGCCACUUGCUUUUCACUUCGGAGGGGCUCUCUUAGCACUGCUCUGGGGAACAUUGUUUUCCUCACUCAGCCACCUGGUAUGUGAUGCAUAAAACAUGGUUUCCGGCUGUUCUACAUGUUUGCAUUAUGGGAUAAAGAAACUCAAAGUGGCAAAUAAAGACAUAAGAG